RNAcentral lists this long non-coding RNA (225 nucleotides) under Brassica rapa (field mustard). RNAcentral's name for it is "long non-coding RNA (BRAP_LNC005202)". The record is from RNAcentral. Lineage: Eukaryota; Viridiplantae; Streptophyta; Magnoliopsida; Brassicales; Brassicaceae.
GAUGACUGGAGUAGCAUGUGCAUCUACGUUGACGCGAGGUUGAUUGAUCUAGGCUGCAACAGAGUGUAGAUCAGCCGGAGGAGAAAUCCAAACUUCAGCAGCAAAAGGCUCCCAUAUCAAGCGAGAGAAAGAGCACUCAAAGAAGAGAUGAUGGUGAGUCUCUAUUUCCAGAUUACAAAGAGCGCACGUUCCUGAGACAUUUAAUCCCCAACGCCUCAAGCGAUC